UACGUAGGGUGCAAGCGUUGUCCGGAUUCAUUGGGCGUAAAGAGCUCGUAGGCGGCUUUGUAAGUCGGGUGUGAAAACCCCAGGCUCAACCUGGGGACGCCACUCGAUACUGCAAUAGCUAGAGUCUGGUAGGGGAUCACGGAAUUCCUGGUGUAGCGGUGAAAUGCGCAGAUAUCAGGAGGAACACUCGUGGCGAAGGCGGCCAGCUAGACCAGUUCUGACACUGAGGCGCGAUAGCGUGGGGAGCAAACAGG
This 254-nucleotide ribosomal RNA is filed under the name uncultured bacterium. RNAcentral describes it as "partial 16S ribosomal RNA". It matches the Rfam family "Bacterial small subunit ribosomal RNA", at positions 524 to 776 of the family's 1533-position model. The record is from RNAcentral.